AUUGAAUUCAGGUCCUUGCACUUGCGAGGCAGGCGUCGGAACCACUGAGGUAAAUCCCUGGCAAGGAUAUUUUAAUUGUUGACCAUAGAUAAGGAUGGCUUCAUCUCCAGGCUUUCAGAAGAAAUAACUAAAUCUACAUCGAAUGGCUUAUCUGCACCCUUGGGACUAUGGAUGCUUCUAGAGUCCUGUUUGCUCCUGAGUGGCAGCCCAGACUCACAGGGUGCAGAGCUGGCCUGGACCCGGACCCACACAGCGCCACCUCCACCCAGUACAGGAAAGUGAAGCCCAGAUAAGAGAGAUGACUCCAAGUCACACAGUUAAGCCCAGGAG
This 330-nucleotide long non-coding RNA is filed under the name Fukomys damarensis (Damara mole-rat). RNAcentral describes it as "lncRNA (ENSFDAG00000029082.1)". Lineage: Eukaryota; Metazoa; Chordata; Mammalia; Rodentia; Bathyergidae. The record is from RNAcentral.